RNAcentral lists this ribosomal RNA (237 nucleotides) under uncultured bacterium. Its description in RNAcentral is "partial 16S ribosomal RNA". It matches the Rfam family "Bacterial small subunit ribosomal RNA", at positions 100 to 334 of the family's 1533-position model. The record is from RNAcentral.
CCGGCACGGGUGAGUAACACGUAUCCAACCUGCCGUCUACUCUUGGACAGCCUUCUGAAAGGAAGAUUAAUACAAGAUGGCAUCAUGAGUCCGCAUGUUCACAUGAUUAAAGGUAUUCCGGUAGACGAUGGGGAUGCGUUCCAUUAGAUAGUAGGCGGGGUAACGGCCCACCUAGUCUUCGAUGGAUAGGGGUUCUGAGAGGAAGGUUCCCAACAUUGGAACUGAGGCACGGUCCAA